RNAcentral lists this ribosomal RNA (233 nucleotides) under uncultured bacterium. Its description in RNAcentral is "partial 16S ribosomal RNA". It matches the Rfam family "Bacterial small subunit ribosomal RNA", at positions 99 to 334 of the family's 1533-position model. The record is from RNAcentral.
CGCACGGGUGAGUAAUAUAUAGGUAACGUGCCCUAGAGAGGGGGAUAACAUUUGGAAACGAAUGCUAAUACCCCAUAUGCCUUUAAGUCUUAAGACUGCAAGGGAAAUAUUUAUAGCUCUAGGAUCGGCCUGUACGGUAUCAGUUUGUUGGUGAGGUAAUGGCUCACCAAGACUAUGACGCCUAACUGGUUUGAGAGGAUGAUCAGUCACACUGGAACUGGGACACGGUCCAG